Molecule: long non-coding RNA, 724 nt
Organism: Zophobas morio
Lineage: Eukaryota; Metazoa; Arthropoda; Insecta; Coleoptera; Tenebrionidae
Exons: 4
Source: RefSeq, a predicted model, not a curated record
CAUGUGCACACUUUACGUGGCUGUUGACCUGCAAUCAAUCAAUGGUCAAAUUUUAUCGGCUAUUGCACUCGAGUAGGGUUGAUGAACUCUGUGUGCAACAUGAACAAUGCAUUGUGUGAAAUAUGCCAAGCGCCCAACACUUGCGAGAUAAUUAUUUCAAAUUUUUGAGCGAUAAGGAAACCUUCAUAGCUGGAAGUUGUGUGGUGACGAUGUAUAGAAAUGAACUUCUGAUACGAUGCGAUAAUCGUUUCGAUAAACGGGUCGAAAACCGUUCCAUUCUAAAUGGUGAAUACCUGAAUUGCGUCAUAGGAGCCUCUCGGAGAGCAAGCAAUAAUAAUUUACUACUUGAUUUUGAUAACCAAAUUAGUCGCACCAGCUUGAUAAUAGACACAUCGAACAAAACGACUGAAUGACGUAAUUUUACUUUGUUUAGAUGUAUAUUUGCUCUUAUUAUUUCUUGGAUCUGUUUACAGUCGAAUUAGAACCACAGACGCAUACAAAGGAAAACAUCAAUCUUUUAGUUAUUCCAAAUUUCAAUGCGUCGUACACCCACAGAUAUUGUGCAACUCUAUUAUUCUUGAUAAACAUACAGAAUAAUAGUAAAUCAUUCAAUAAAUAACUAAUUUACAGCGGCUUGGAAAAUCCUGUUAUAUUUUUCAAAAACGACAAAGUAUUGUUACAGCAACAACAACAGAGUUACACCAACUAGCACUAUAAACUGACA